CCUACGGGAGGCUGCAGUGGGGAAUAUUGCACAAUGGGGGAAACCCUGAUGCAGCGACGCCGCGUGAGUGAAGAAGUAUCUCGGUACGUAAAGCUCUAUCAGCAGGGAAGUAAAUGACGGUACGUGACUAAGAAGCCCCGGCUAACUAGGUGCAGCAGCCGCGGUAAUACGUAGGGGGCACGCGUUAUCCGGAUUUACUGGGGGGAUAGGGAGCGUAGACGGCAAGACAAGUCUGGAGUGAAAUCCUGGGGCUUAACCCCGGAACUGCGUUGGACACUGUGCGGCUGGAGUGCAGGAGAGGUAAGCGGAAUUCGUAGUGUAGCGGUGAAAUGCGUAGAUAUCAGGAGGAACACCGGUGGCGAAGGCAGCUUACUGGACUGUAACUGACGUUGAGGCUCGAAAGCGUGGGGAGCAAACAGGAUUAGAUACCCGUGUAGUC
RNAcentral lists this ribosomal RNA (439 nucleotides) under uncultured bacterium. RNAcentral's name for it is "partial 16S ribosomal RNA". It matches the Rfam family "Bacterial small subunit ribosomal RNA", at positions 338 to 795 of the family's 1533-position model. The record is from RNAcentral.